CCCUUAGAUGUUCUGGGCUGCACGCGCGCUACACUGAAGCUAUCAACACGUUUUCCCUCCCUGAGAAGGGCGGGUAACCUUUUGAAUCAGCUUCGUGGUAGGGAUCGGGGCUUGCAAUUGUUCCCCGUGAACCAGGAAUUCCUAGUAGACGCGAGUCAUAAGCUCGCAUCGAUUAAGUCCCUGCCCUUUGUACACACCGCCCGUCGCUACUACUGAUUGAACGUUUUAGUGAGGCAUUUGGACCGACGCAUCUCAGUUUAACCGCUGGUUUGUGUUGGAAAGACUUCCAAACUUGAGCGUUUAGAGGAAGUAAAAGUCGUAACA
This 324-nucleotide ribosomal RNA is filed under the name uncultured eukaryote. RNAcentral's name for it is "partial 18S ribosomal RNA". It matches the Rfam family "Eukaryotic small subunit ribosomal RNA", at positions 1470 to 1796 of the family's 1831-position model. The record is from RNAcentral.